Molecule: ribosomal RNA, 546 nt
Filed under: uncultured bacterium
Lineage: Bacteria
Description: partial 16S rRNA
Rfam family: Bacterial small subunit ribosomal RNA
Source: RNAcentral
UGGGGANUCNUGNNNNNUGGGGGAACCCUGACGCAGCCNUGCCGCGUGAAUGAANAAGGCCUUAGGGUUGUAAAGUUCUUUCGGUAUUGAGGAAGGUUGAUGUGAUAAUAGCACAUCAAAUUGACGUUAAAUACAGAAGAAGCACCGGCUAACUCCGUGCCAGCAGCCGCGGUAAUACGGAGGGUGCGAGCGUUAAUCGGAAUAACUGGGCGUAAAGGGCACGCAGGCGGUUAUUUAAGUGAGGUGUGAAAGCCCUGGGCUUAACCUAGGAAUUGCAUUUCAGACUGGGUAACUAGAGUACUUUAGGGAGGGGUAGAAUUCCACGUGUAGCGGUGAAAUGCGUAGAGAUGUGGAGGAAUACCGAAGGCGAAGGCAGCCCCUUGGGAAUGUACUGACGCUCAUGUGCGAAAGCGUGGGGAGCAAACAGGAUUAGAUACCCUGGUAGUCCACGCUGUAAACGCUGUCGAUUUGGGGGUUGGGGUUUAACUUUGGCGCCCGUAGCUNACGUGAUAAAUCGACCGCCUGGGGAGUACGGCCGCNAGGNUA